UACAGGGGGCGCGAGCGUUGCUCGGAAUCACAGGGCGUAAAGCGUACGCAGGCGGAUCGUUAAGUCGGGUGUGAAAGCCCGGGGCUCAACCCCGGAAUUGCAUUCGAUACUGGCGGCCUUGAGUGCGGGAGAGGUGAGUGGAAUUCCUGGUGUAGAGGUGAAAUUCGUAGAUAUCAGGAGGAACACCGGUGGCGAAGGCGGGUCUCUGGGCCGAUACUGACGCUGAGGAGCGAAAGCGUGGGGAGCGAACAGG
Molecule: ribosomal RNA, 253 nt
Filed under: uncultured bacterium
Lineage: Bacteria
Description: partial 16S ribosomal RNA
Rfam family: Bacterial small subunit ribosomal RNA
Source: RNAcentral